GACGAACGCUGGCGGCGUGCCUAAUACAUGCAAGUUGAGCGCUGAAGGUUGGUUCUUGUCCCAACUGGAUGAGCAGCGAACGGGUGAGUAACGCGUGGGGAAUCUGCCUUUGAGCGGGGGACAACAUUUGGAAACGAAUGCUAAUACCGCAUAAAAACUUUAAACACAAGUUUUAAGUUUGAAAGAUGCAAUUGCAUCACUCAAAGAUGAUCCCGCGUUGUAUUAGCUAGUUGGUGAGGUAAAGGCUCACCAAGGCGAUGAUACAUAGCCGACCUGAGAGGGUGAUCGGCCACAUUGGGACUGAGACACGGCCCAAACUCCCACGGGAGGCAGCAGUAGGGAAUCUUCGGCAAUGGACGAAAGUCUGACCGAGCAACGCCGCGUGAGUGAAGAAGGUUUUCGGAUCGUAAAACUCUGUUGGUAGAGAAGAACGUUGGUGAGAGUGGAAAGCUCAUCAAGUGACGGUAACUACCCAGAAAGGGACGGCUAACUACGUG
RNAcentral lists this ribosomal RNA (497 nucleotides) under uncultured bacterium. RNAcentral describes it as "partial 16S ribosomal RNA". It matches the Rfam family "Bacterial small subunit ribosomal RNA", at positions 28 to 507 of the family's 1533-position model. The record is from RNAcentral.